CCCUGGGUGAGGGUCACACCUGCCCACGCCAGGCCGGCCGGUGGCCACCAGACACCCUGAGGGAUGGCCCCACCUUCCCCUAAGGACCCUACAACAACACCCCGCCCCUCCGGCCACCUGAGGUCCCUACUGGGGCGGCCUGAGGCCCGAGCCUGGGGACAGGAAGCCCCAGGCCUGGCCGCCCUGAAAGCCUCUUUCAGCCUGGGCCUCCUCCCGCCACCACCGACUCCUCCCGCGGAAUAAUAUUUGGGCUGUUGGCGGGGGGCGGGGGCCAGAUCCGGAGGCCGCGGGGAGAAGCCAGAAACCGCAGGGCUUCCUGCCUCGGGCCCAGGACUCCGGAGAGACCCCCAGGCCCGCGGGAGGGGGCGGGGGCCCGGGAGACUGAGGGCCUUUCUCUCGGCCCCAGUUGUUUUUUCCAGGAACCAGGAGGAAUUCCCCGGCCUGCCCAGGACAGCGAGGCUGGUGGACGGCGACGACGGGGUGCCAGCACGGCAGGGGGCGGGGGUGACACGCAGCCGGCCAGGCGGGCACAGCGACAGAAAUAGAGGGCCUGGCCUGCGAGGUGGCAGCCUAACCAAGACGUGAGCAGCCCCUAGGCUCCGAGCCUCAGAGCUAAAGAAUCCAAAGAGCCACCCAAGAUGUUGUCCCAGAUAGCGGCCAUCAAAGCACCCCACGGAUCAACCCAUAACAUCAAUCAACAUGACAGUCUUCGCAGUACCCCACGGGCCCACCAGGAUGUCCAUGGUGGUUAUCACAGUACCCAGUGGAUCAUCACAAAGUUCCAUGGCAAGCGACAUUGCAAAAGAUGGGACUAUGAGAAGCAGCUAUGAGACUCCAGCUCUCCUAUCAAGCCAGACUUGACUUGGCAAAAUGUGAAACCGUGCCACUUGGCUCACUAAAGUUUUGAAAUAGAGUUGCUUUAAUAAAAACAUGUUGUUUGUAUUAAUAAAUGAUUGUU
Ictidomys tridecemlineatus (thirteen-lined ground squirrel) is the source of this 958-nucleotide non-coding RNA. NCBI's taxonomy places the organism in Eukaryota, Metazoa, Chordata, Mammalia, Rodentia, Sciuridae. The record is from RefSeq and is a predicted model, not a curated record.